RNAcentral lists this transfer RNA (77 nucleotides) under Rhodospirillaceae bacterium. RNAcentral's name for it is "tRNA-His". It matches the Rfam family "tRNA". Rfam says of the family: Transfer RNA (tRNA) molecules are approximately 80 nucleotides in length. The record is from RNAcentral. Lineage: Bacteria; Pseudomonadati; Pseudomonadota; Alphaproteobacteria; Rhodospirillales; Rhodospirillaceae.
GUGGGCGUAGCUCAGGCGGUUAGAGCACCAGAUUGUGGAUCUGGGGGUCGGGGGUUCAACUCCCCUCGCCCACCCCA